RNAcentral lists this ribosomal RNA (243 nucleotides) under uncultured bacterium. RNAcentral's name for it is "partial 16S ribosomal RNA". It matches the Rfam family "Bacterial small subunit ribosomal RNA", at positions 524 to 765 of the family's 1533-position model. The record is from RNAcentral.
UACAGAGGUCUCAAGCGUUGUUCGGAUUCAUUGGGCGUAAAGGGUGCGUAGGUGGCCAGGUAAGUCGGAUGUGAAAUCCCGGGGCUCAACCCCGGAACUGCAUUCGAGUACUGCCCGGCUUGAGUACUGGAGAGGAGAUUGGAAGUUUACGGUGUAGCAGUGAAAUGCGUAGAUAUCGUAAGGAGACCAGUGGCGAAGGCGGAUCUCUGGACAGUUACUGACACUGAGGCACGAAGGCCAGGG